Molecule: transfer RNA, 71 nt
Organism: Caenorhabditis elegans
Lineage: Eukaryota; Metazoa; Nematoda; Chromadorea; Rhabditida; Rhabditidae
Source: Ensembl
GCAUUGGUGGCUCAGUGGUAGAAUGCUCGCCUGCCACGCGGGCAGCCCGGGUCCAAUUCCCGGUCGAUGCA